This 253-nucleotide ribosomal RNA is filed under the name uncultured bacterium. Its description in RNAcentral is "partial 16S ribosomal RNA". It matches the Rfam family "Bacterial small subunit ribosomal RNA", at positions 524 to 776 of the family's 1533-position model. The record is from RNAcentral.
UACGUAGGGGGCAAGCGUUGUCCGGAUUUAUUGGGCGUAAAGCGCACGUAGGCGGCUUUGCAAGUCGGAUGUGAAAUCCCUCGGCUUAACCAAGGAAGUGCAUCCGAAACUGCAGAGCUUGAGUACUUAAGAGGAUCGCGGAAUUCCCGGUGUAGAGGUGAAAUUCGUAGAUAUGGGGAGGAACACCGGUGGCGAAGGCGGCCAUCUGGACGGUAACUGACGCUGAGACGCGAAAGCGUGGGGAGCAAACAGG